AGCGAACGCUGGCGGCAGGCCUAACACAUGCAAGUCGAACGAAGUCUUCGGACUUAGUGGCGGACGGGUGAGUAACACGUGGGAACGUGCCUUUAGGUUCGGAAUAACUCAGGGAAACUUGUGCUAAUACCGAAUGUGCCCUUCGGGGGAAAGAUUUAUCGCCUUUAGAGCGGCCCGCGUCUGAUUAGCUAGUUGGUGAGGUAAAGGCUCACCAAGGCGACGAUCAGUAGCUGGUCUGAGAGGAUGAUCAGCCACAUUGGGACUGAGACACGGCCCAAACUCCGACGGGAGGCAGCAGUGGGGAAUCUUGCGCAAUGGGCGAAAGCCUGACGCAGCCAUGCCGCGUGAAUGAUGAAGGUCUUAGGAUUGUAAAAUCCUUUCACCGGGGACGAUAAUGACGGUACCCGGAGAAGAAGCCCCGGCUAACUUCGUGCCAGCCGCCGCUGUAA
Molecule: ribosomal RNA, 449 nt
Filed under: uncultured bacterium
Lineage: Bacteria
Description: partial 16S ribosomal RNA
Rfam family: Bacterial small subunit ribosomal RNA
Source: RNAcentral